GUCCCAGUGGCAGCUGACUCAGAUCCCUGGGUGCCUGUGCGGAGGGAACAACGGACGGGGCCUGGCACUGAGUCUUCCUGGUUUCCCAAGGACUGGGGGGCGACAGGCUCUCCCUGGAAUGUGAGCUCCAUGAAAGCAGCAGUCUUUGAUUUGUUCCCUGCCGUGUCUCCAGUGCCUGGAACAGUGCUUCGUACUAAAUAAAUACUUAUUAAAUGAA
Aethalodelphis obliquidens (Pacific white-sided dolphin) is the source of this 217-nucleotide long non-coding RNA. RefSeq lists it as uncharacterized. The transcript has 2 exons. The record is from RefSeq and is a predicted model, not a curated record. NCBI's taxonomy places the organism in Eukaryota, Metazoa, Chordata, Mammalia, Artiodactyla, Delphinidae.